GUCUUCUCCGUUGUAUUCGCCAUUUGAUGACCUUUCCAUUUCUUAUUCUAAGAAGACGAGCCUCACCGUAGAUCCGUUGACACCAUCUCACUCCCUGACAAUCAGAUGAGCCUCUGCCGCCCCAAUGACUGACCAGUCGCCACCGUCAGUCUCCCAGUCAUCCUCAAUCCGGGAGAGCACUCCGUUGGAGAACGAGCCACCAGAGCUUUCGAGCCCUCCUAUGAACCUCCGCACCAGAGAUCCUUCAGAUCCGCCAAGAUGGAAAGAGAGAAAGCUUCAACGACAUCACCAAACGACCACUACUCCGUCACGUUGUUCAUAAUCCGAAGGGGAGGAGGCGACGAAGCUUUCCGGCGUGAGCCAUAGAUCUUGCCACCUCCAAAACCCUAGACAGCACCGCACAAGAGGAGAGAGCUAGAGAGCAUGCAAGCCAUGGAAACCCUAACAAGCUAUGCCAGAAAUUAAGAUCUACUGAAUGAGCACAACAACAACUCAGAUUCAAUAGAUCUCAGCAGAGCAGGAGUAUUUCGAGCAAACUCCACUCGACCAGUCUUUGGAAAUCAUUUCUCAGAAGAUGCACAUGCCGUGUGUUGCUGCUGAUUUUUGAGUUUGUAAUCAACCAAACACUAUGCUUUUCAUAUGUUCCUCUCUGCACUUCUUCAGGUCCCUUCUUUUUUUUUUUAUUCUAGCAACUUAACUUCUACUGCAUCCUCUAAUAGUUUCAUUAUCCAUUCAAAAUAUUUUUUUAUCUCAGCUAUGUGAUAGCUGAGACAUGUUAAUUAGACAAUUAGCCAGAUUUGUAUUGGAAGAUGAAGAUGCAGCCAAAAGGGUCUGACGGACUCCUUUUACCCUACAUGGAAACCAGAACUACAUAGAGAUCCCUAGAGCCAUUGCAGUGGUUGGGACAAUGUAUGGGUUGGUUAUGAUUGGAAAUACAAUUCAAGUUGUGCAGAGCCCUCCAAUGCAGUCUGGGAUUUUCAAAUCCAGUCUCUUUUUUUUAUCUUUCAUCACUCUCUCUCUUCACAGCUUGCUCAAUAAAAGGGAAAAUGAAGUUGUCAGUGUUGUAAAUACAAUUCUGGUGGUAUAUUCAAGGUGUAAGUGGUCACUGGUCAAGAAUAUGUGUGCUCUCAAAAGAAACAGAGGAAGCUGAAGUAUAGCCCAUAUUCUGCUCCAAACACAGACCUGGCUCUCUCCUGAUCCUUCGAGCUGAGGUUCAAUGUGGAAGGACGAGAAACCAACCAUGGUCUCAUGAGAAUUUUCAAUGAUCCUUCCAAGGAUAUAACGUUCUAUGUGGAGUUGAAAUACUUUCAUUUGUUUAAAGCUGCCAAAGAAGGAGGAUGGUUGGGACUACAAUACUGUUUAUAUAUGGUUUGAUUUCUUUCUACACCAUAAUACUCCUGCGUUACUGUCUCGACAGUGAGUUUGACCUCAAGACCUAUCCCGACAGUGCCCAAGCUGCGUUUCUACCACGUGACGUAUCUUUGUCUCGGUAAGGGGCUAAUAUUUUCAAAAAGUUCUGAAUCUACCUUUAUAGUAAAGGUUAUAAAAGUUAAGAACCAUAUAACAGAAAUAUGAUUUGCCUUUGGGCUUUCGAACAAAUGGAACAACUGAAAAGCUAUGGGUAGCAAGUAGAUCAGUUAGUAAAUCUCUCACUAAUAAAUCCCUAAUUGCUAUCAGAAGUCAAUAGUACAAUACUAUAAGCUUA
Molecule: long non-coding RNA, 1705 nt
Organism: Brassica rapa (field mustard)
Lineage: Eukaryota; Viridiplantae; Streptophyta; Magnoliopsida; Brassicales; Brassicaceae
Source: RefSeq, a predicted model, not a curated record